Molecule: ribosomal RNA, 253 nt
Filed under: uncultured bacterium
Lineage: Bacteria
Description: partial 16S ribosomal RNA
Rfam family: Bacterial small subunit ribosomal RNA
Source: RNAcentral
CACGUAGGGGGCGAGCGUUGUCCGGAUUCAUUGGGCGUAAAGGGCGCGCAGGCGGCCCGGAAAGUCGGAUGUGAAAACUCGAGGCUCAACCUCGGGCUUGCAGUGGAUACGGGCAGACUAGAGUGCGGUAGGGGAGACUGGAAUUCCUGGUGUAGCGGUGGAAUGCGCAGAUAUCAGGAGGAACACCGAUGGCGAAGGCAGGUCUCUGGGCCGCAACUGACGCUGAGGAGCGAAAGCGUGGGGAUCAAACAGG